UACGUUGUCUGCUAUACGCAGGAAGACCC
Molecule: ribosomal RNA, 29 nt
Filed under: Trichomonas gallinae
Lineage: Eukaryota; Parabasalia; Trichomonadida; Trichomonadidae
Also listed under: 1 other name
Description: partial 28S ribosomal RNA
Source: RNAcentral